GACGAACGCUGGCGGCGUGCUUAACACAUGCAAGUCGAACGGUAAGGCCCUUCGGGGUACACGAGUGGCGAACGGGUGAGUAACACGUGGGUGAUCUGCCCUGCACUUCGGGAUAAGCCUGGGAAACUGGGUCUAAUACCGGAUAGGACUCCGGACUGCAUGGGCUGGGGUGGAAAGCUUUUGCGGUGUGGGAUGGGCCCGCGGCCUAUCAGCUUGUUGGUGGGGGGAUGGCCUACCAAGGCGACGACGGGUAGCCCGCCUGAGAGGGUGACCGGCCACACUGGGACUGAGAUACGGCCCAGACUCCUACGGGAGGCAGCAGUGGGGAAUAUUGCACAAUGGGCGCAAGCCUGAUGCAGCGACGCCGCGUGAGGGAUGACGGCCUUCGGGUUGUAAACCUCUUUCAGCAUCGACGAAGCGAAAGUGACGGUAGGUGCAGAAGAAGGACCGGCCAACUACGUGCCAGCCGCCGCGGUAA
Molecule: ribosomal RNA, 478 nt
Filed under: uncultured bacterium
Lineage: Bacteria
Description: partial 16S ribosomal RNA
Rfam family: Bacterial small subunit ribosomal RNA
Source: RNAcentral